This 478-nucleotide ribosomal RNA is filed under the name uncultured Desulfuromusa sp. RNAcentral's name for it is "bacterial SSU rRNA". It matches the Rfam family "Bacterial small subunit ribosomal RNA", at positions 903 to 1382 of the family's 1533-position model. Lineage: Bacteria; Pseudomonadati; Thermodesulfobacteriota; Desulfuromonadia; Desulfuromonadales; Geopsychrobacteraceae. The record is from RNAcentral.
AAAGGAAUUGACGGGGCCGCACAAGCGGUGGAGCAUGUGGUUUAAUUCGACGCAACGCGAAGAACCUUACCUGGGUUUGACAUCCCGAUCAUACUUUCUGGAAACAGUUAGGUCAGUUCGGCUGGAUCGGUGACAGGUGCUGCAUGGCUGUCGUCAGCUCGUGUCGUGAGAUGUUGGGUUAAGUCCCGCAACGAGCGCAACCCUUAUCCUUAGUUGCCAUCAUUAAGUUGGGCACUCUAGGGAGACUGCCGGUGUUAAACCGGAGGAAGUGGGGAUGACGUCAAGUCCUCAUGGCCCUUAUAUCCAGGGCUACACACGUGCUACAAUGGCCGGUACAAAGGGCAGCGAUACCGCGAGGUGGAGCAAAUCCCAUAAAGCCGGUCUCAGUUCGGAUUGGAGUCUGCAACUCGACUCCAUGAAGUUGGAAUCGCUAGUAAUCGCGUAUCAGCAUGACGCGGUGAAUACGUUCCCGGGCCUU